GCUUACGGCCAUACCACCCUGAACACGCAGUCCGAUCUCGGAAGCUAAGCAGGGUCGGGCCUGGUUAGUACUUGGAUGGGAGACCGCCUGGGAAUACCAGGUGCUGUAAGCU
Molecule: ribosomal RNA, 112 nt
Filed under: Dicentrarchus labrax (European seabass)
Lineage: Eukaryota; Metazoa; Chordata; Actinopteri; Moronidae
Source: RNAcentral